This 523-nucleotide ribosomal RNA is filed under the name uncultured bacterium. RNAcentral describes it as "bacterial SSU rRNA". It matches the Rfam family "Bacterial small subunit ribosomal RNA", at positions 8 to 524 of the family's 1533-position model. The record is from RNAcentral.
AGAGUUUGAUCCUGGCUCAGGACGAACGCUGGCGGCGUGCUUAAUACGUGCAAGUCGAGCGAGGUUACUGUUUUGGAUCCCUUCGGGGUGAAGAAGCUUUAACCUAGCGGCGGACGGGUGAGUAACGCGUGGGUAACCUACCCCAAAGUCCGGGAUAACAGCGGGAAACCGCUGCUAAUACCGGAUGCCUUUACCUUGGGGCAUCUUGAGGUAAAGAAAGGUAACGCUUUGGGAUGGGCCCGCGUCCCAUUAGCUAGUUGGUGAGGUAACGGCUCACCAAGGCGACGAUGGGUAGCCGGCCUGAGAGGGUGGACGGCCACACUGGGACUGAGACACGGCCCAGACUCCUACGGGAGGCAGCAGUAGGGAAUAUUGCGCAAUGGACGGAAGUCUGACGCAGCGACGCCGCGUGAGCGAUGAAGGUCUUCGGAUCGUAAAGCUCUGUCCUUGGGGAAGAAGGCGAAAGCUUGACGGUACCCAAGAAGAAAGCCCCGGCUAACUACGUGCCAGCAGCCGCGGUAAU